CGCCAGACUCCUACGGGAGGCAGCAGUGGGGAAUAUUGCACAAUGGGGGAAACCCUGAUGCAGCAACGCCGCGUGAGUGAAGAAGGUUUUCGGAUUGUAAAGCUCUGUUAGCAGGGAAGAGGAAGGACGGUACCUGCAGAGGAAGCCACGGCUAACUACGUGCCAGCAGCCGCGGUAAUACGUAGGUGGCAAGCGUUGUCCGGAAUUACUGGGUGUAAAGGGAGCGCAGGCGGGAAGCCAAGUCAGCUAUGAAAACUACGGGCUUAACUUGUAGACUGCAGUUGAAACUGGUUUUCUUGAGUGAAGUAGAGGUUGGCGGAAUUCCGAGUGUAGCGGUGAAAUGCGUAGAUAUUCGGAGGAACACCGGUGGCGAAGGCGGCCAACUGGGCUUUAACUGACGCUGAGGCUCGAAAGUGUGAGGAGCAAACAGGAUUAGAUACCCUUGUA
RNAcentral lists this ribosomal RNA (447 nucleotides) under uncultured bacterium. Its description in RNAcentral is "bacterial SSU rRNA". It matches the Rfam family "Bacterial small subunit ribosomal RNA", at positions 329 to 792 of the family's 1533-position model. The record is from RNAcentral.